ACUAGAUAUCUAUAGAAUGCAAUGUGUUCUAUAUACAAAAUGGCCACUACAAGAAUUCCUGCUUUCACAGUGAUAUUUUUCCUGGCAUUUUUUAUCCUUACAUCAGAUAUGUGCAUAAAAUUAGAAGGAAGAGAACUUGAUGCAAAACCUUGCAAGUAUGAUGCAGAUUGUCAACCUGGAUGUCCUUCUGGUCAAAAAGGAUGUUGUGUUAACGGAAGAUGUUGGUGUUAUUCUCCACCAGCUUCUGUUAAUAACAUUCCUGGUGGAGCAUCCCAAGAUGCAGUUUGUUUUUAAUACAAAUGGUUUUUUUGAGGUGUCUCCUCAAAAAGUGUUGUAAGAUUACACAACAUAUUGUGAUGCAAUCAUAUUAUGUAUGAAUAAAUUUUUAUUAAAAGUA
This is a long non-coding RNA of Vicia villosa (hairy vetch), 397 nucleotides long. RefSeq lists it as uncharacterized. NCBI's taxonomy places the organism in Eukaryota, Viridiplantae, Streptophyta, Magnoliopsida, Fabales, Fabaceae. The record is from RefSeq and is a predicted model, not a curated record. The transcript is spliced from 2 exons.